AUGAUCAGGAGGAAAUUAUAUCCGAUCGCCUGCAGGCUUCCCCCAGAUCCCCUCCACGGUCCUUCCGGGGAAUAUUCGGAGCCUGGUGGAGGGAUACGGCUUGUGUGCCAUGCAGCUCUCCAGCCAAGAAACGCCAGAGCGGCGCCGAUGUGCUCAGACAGUGGGCGGCCGCAGUGCCUAUGGCUGAGGCAGGGGCCAGGUCACCCCCCGGGAGGGGCCGGGGUAGGGAGCCUGCCUGCGCCGCCGUCAUAUGACAGUGCUCUGGCCAGAAGGACCUUGUGUAGUCCGAAUCCGCCUGGGAAUAGAGAGCCUGAGCGGAACCGUCUGGCUAAACUCUUCCGUCUCUCCAUAGCCCGAGUCAGCUCUCUUCCCUCAUGCCAGCCAGAGCAGAAAGGCAGUGUAGGUGCUUCCCAGGAGCCAGUGGCCUGGGGCUAGGGUUGGCGUUUGGCUUCUUAAGAGCCUAUCUUUUUAUUUCUUUUCCAGUGGUCUGUAUUUCAAAUCCUGACCAAUCUCAUCAAAGCCUCAGGUGGUAUUCAAUCUCAUGACACCUGGAGAAAGGAAGCGGAAUCCACCCAGGCCAGAGCAGCCCCGCGGUGGGGAGCAGCACAGGACCCCCCCGUACAGAAGCAGCUCCCUAAGGAUGGACUGCCUCCGCAGACCUGGGAGCCCCUCCAGCGCAGCGACUCCUCCAGGGUUGGGGGCUGCUUCUGCAGUUCUGCCGAUGACCACCAGGGGUCAGGCGCGGCUCUGCAUCUCUCUCCUGGGCUCCAGGACUGGACUGCGAGGGCGACCACAGGAUGCCCGCAGCUCCGCGCGGACGCCUGGGGCCACCCCCGCUCCCCAGCCCAGGGCCCCUGC
Molecule: long non-coding RNA, 858 nt
Filed under: Ovis aries (sheep)
Lineage: Eukaryota; Metazoa; Chordata; Mammalia; Artiodactyla; Bovidae
Description: lncRNA (ENSOARG00000026904.1)
Source: RNAcentral